This 270-nucleotide ribosomal RNA is filed under the name uncultured bacterium. RNAcentral's name for it is "partial 16S ribosomal RNA". It matches the Rfam family "Bacterial small subunit ribosomal RNA", at positions 28 to 303 of the family's 1533-position model. The record is from RNAcentral.
GAUGAACGCUGGCGGCGUGCUUAACACAUGCAAGUCGAACGAUGAACCCCGCUUGCGGGGGGAUUAGUGGCGAACGGGUGAGUAACACGUGAGUAACCUGCCCUUGACUCUGGGAUAAGCCUGGGAAACCGGGUCUAAUACCGGAUAUGACUUCCUGCCGCAUGGCGGGGGUGAAAGCUUUUGUGUCUUGGAUGGACUCGCGGCCUAUCAGCUUGUUGGUGAGGUAAUGGCNCACCAAGGCGACGACGGGUAGCCGGCCUGAGAGGGUGA